Molecule: long non-coding RNA, 1344 nt
Organism: Amblyraja radiata (thorny skate)
Lineage: Eukaryota; Metazoa; Chordata; Chondrichthyes; Rajiformes; Rajidae
Exons: 3
Source: RefSeq, a predicted model, not a curated record
CUAUUACAUUACAAAUUUAUUUUACGUGGCGCACCGUCAAAGCGUUCCUGCCGCUUUUUUUCACGGAAUGGGUAAUUGCAAAGAUCCAGAUGGAAUAGGUCUUCUACAUUUGACAAGGCAUUUGUCAUUUUAAAGUACCACAUACCGAAUUUAAGACAAGCCUUUUUUGUGAAUCAAGUUUCCUAACAAUUCAGAUGAUAUUCAAUACAGUGUCAGCAAACUAAUUUCUGGCGAUGAAAGAUGUUUAAAAAAAAAAAGUUUGACACGAUUUUACUGCAAGACCGUCAUUAUUGAGGUUGAGAACUUUAACAGGAUGGCGCUACGUCGUAAAUCUUACCUUACCGUUUUACUAAAAGAUUUUGCAUAUUAUUUGAAGGCAGCAAGCAGAUGUGGGUGAAGAAUAUGCCAUCAAUACACAAAAUGUGUGUUCUUACAAGCCUCAUUCAAGCAUCGACUCUGCUCGUCUGCUCCUGGGUUUUAUUUAAAGAACAAACAUUGGAACAUAGUGUGAUCAGGAGCCAUGUCCACCGUAAACAACAGCAGAUUGCACUUGGCAGAUACGCUACUGUACAACUUACCGUGAGGUACAGGCGAGCAGAACAAACUGGCGUUCAACAUUGAGGUGUAAUGGAUAUUGUAGGCAUGUAGUCGUUAUUUUAACGGGAGUGCCAAUGAUAGCACUAACAAAAUAAAAUAAAAAUGCAGCGGUGCCAUUCAGAUUGUGAUAUUAUGCUACCAUCCCGCGUUAAUAGUCCCGUAGCAGAUGUAUCGGUUCCAACGUUACUUAUAAACAGGGGUAUUAAUCAAAUCAAUCAGUGUUGACAAAUUAGAAAUAUUUGAAGGAACGCGUUAAUUUACAACUUUGUUAUUAGUUAAAAAUCACCAGCAUUGUAGUGGCAAUUAAUAACACUCUGAGUGGGAACACUUAAAGACGAAUGGUUCACUCUGUACCGGUGGUGAUCAGCUCAGCUGUACCGCAACCGCGGCGAAUGACGGAAAGAUUCGCAAAGGGCGGGGGUUGGACGGGUCAGUCGACUGAUUGAAAGAGAGCUUCCUAAUGCAACGUUCGAGGGUAGGAAAGGGUGCGACGGGGGAAAGGGUCAGAUACCAUGCGAGGAAAGAGGGGGGGGAGAGAAACGUGAAUAAACGAUAGGUUAACCACCGCGGGACCCAACGUAUGGGCGACACCCUGUCUGAAGGGAAUCUUGCGGCCGCGGUGUCCAGCGGAUCACAAGGGCACUCAAUCGGAUUGAACGAACUGACCGUCACUGCCAGUAACUUAAUGAAAAAUAUUGUAAAUAAAUCUAAAACCCGCCACACAAAAAGGGCUCACUUACAACCAUA